This 642-nucleotide ribosomal RNA is filed under the name uncultured Mortierella. RNAcentral's name for it is "eukaryotic LSU rRNA". The stretch from base 216 to 369 matches the Rfam family "5.8S ribosomal RNA". The record is from RNAcentral. Lineage: Eukaryota; Fungi; Mortierellomycota; Mortierellomycetes; Mortierellales; Mortierellaceae.
CUUGGUCAUUUAGAGGAAGUAAAAGUCGUAACAAGGUUUCCGUAGGUGAACCUGCGGAAGGAUCAUUCAUAAUAAGUGUUUUAUGGCACUUUUUAAAUCCAUAUCCACCUUGUGUGCAAUGUCAGUCGAUCCUCUUCAUGGAGAUCGACCAAACAUCAACCUUUAUUUUUUAACUCUUUGUCUGAAAAAUAUUAUGAAUAAACAAUUNAAAAUACAACUUUCAACAACGGAUCUCUUGGCUCUCGCAUCGAUGAAGAACGCAGCGAAAUGCGAUACGUAAUGUGAAUUGCAGAAUUCAGUGAAUCAUCGAAUCUUUGAACGCAUAUUGCGCUCUUUGGUAUUCCGAAGAGCAUGCUUGUUUGAGUAUCAGUAAACACCUCAAAGCUUUUGGAUUUUUUAAUCGAAAAGCUUUGGACUUGAGCAAUCCCAACACCAAUCUUUUUGAGAUCGGUGGCGGGUUGCUUGAANUGCAGGUGCAGCUGNACAUUCUCCUGAGCUAAAAGCAUAUUCAUUUAGUCCCGUCAAACGGAUUAUUACUUUUGCUGCAGCUAACAUAAAGGGAGUUUGACCGUAUUGGCUGACUGAUGCAGGAUUUCACAAGGGUCGGCAACGAUUCUUGUUAAACUCGAUCUCAAAUCAAGU